UCCCCUUCUGACUCUGCAGCACCUGGGCCUCCAGCUGUGGGGCAGGUGCUGGGCACCUGCUGGCCCUCCGGGAGGAGCCUGUUCCAGACACCGCGGCCCUGCCCUGACUGGGGGCUGCACCCCCACAUCCAGAGCAGAGUUAGCGGGGACUGCACCCAAACACGCUGCCUCGUGAGUGAGUGAAAGGGAGUCUGUUCCCAGGAGUCUUCUUUGGAGGGAAUCCCUGUCCUUGUCGGGCAACGGAGGGGCCGCAGGGGAGCAUCUCCCGGGCCGUCUUUGAAGCCAGCACAGCACUCAGAGCCUUUGAAGUGGCCAGAGGACACCAUUAGAUGCUCUACCGCCUGGUCCUUUCAUUUCACCUUUCAAUGGACUGGCUCGUGAAGAAAUGGUUGAGCCCUGAGGUGUGGCUCAGUGGAUUGGAGCAUCAUCCCAUCACCUGAAGAAAUCAGUAGGAAGAAAUAUCUUCGGGUAAGGAUAAAAAAGAAAAAGAAAAGAAAAGUUGAAGUGACCUUUGCUUUGGGGACUUAAAACCUUUCCAAGUACCUGGACUUCUUUGAUCUCAGCCCUGCAAUGCAUAUUUGAACAUGUCUGACAUUAAUUUACUAAUCAUCUUCCUUUGAAGAUUAGGCAUUAUAAUGGCAUGUUUUAAUGUGA
Molecule: long non-coding RNA, 654 nt
Organism: Eptesicus fuscus (big brown bat)
Lineage: Eukaryota; Metazoa; Chordata; Mammalia; Chiroptera; Vespertilionidae
Exons: 2
Source: RefSeq, a predicted model, not a curated record